This is a long non-coding RNA of Pteropus alecto (black flying fox), 9808 nucleotides long. RefSeq lists it as uncharacterized. The record is from RefSeq and is a predicted model, not a curated record. The transcript has 2 exons. Lineage: Eukaryota; Metazoa; Chordata; Mammalia; Chiroptera; Pteropodidae.
GUAAAUACUGGAUGGAAUGAGAUUCCUCAUCCCUCACACUGCUGGACACAUCAAGCUGAGGCUGGUUAGGUUCUUGCUAUCCCCCCAACACAGUCUCCAAGCCCCUUUCAGUGUGUGUCCUGACACGGCUGCCCCCUUGCCCUUCCUCAGGAAGACUACUGGGUUCUUGAAAUGUUAGUCGAUAGACUCCAACUUCAUGCCUUGGCCUUGUGGGGGUAUUUGUGUGCUCCCGUUUUCUUCUGGGGUACCACCUAUUCCUGGGCCCGCAAAGUGACAGGAACAGGAGAGGCCAUCCACUACUCAGGAGCCAGUCCUUAUUAGGAAGCUCACUUUCUGUCCCAUCACAGCCAGCUGCAAUAGCCAAGUGUUUGUUCCUGGCCAUAACUGCAUGACAAAAAUGACGAUAAUCAUCAUAAUAGCCAACAUUUAUUAGACUCUUAAUGUGUGUCAGAGACUGUUUAGUGCUUUACAUGCGUCGUCUCAUUUGCUGCUUACAGUAACCCCAUGAGGUCCGGUGGUAUUAGCUUCAUUUUAUGUAUGAGGAAACAGCCUUGGAGAAGUGAUUUGAUCAAGCUCUCACAGCAAGAAUUUGGCAAAGCUGGGAUUUAGGCAUCAAAAUCCAAGCUCUUAAUCACUGGGCCAUACUGCCUAAUUCACGGAAUUGGUUUUGUACUUUUCCGUCUCUAAACUGUCAGAGUAUGAGGAGUGUAAUUUCAUGAUAGAUUGAGUCAAGAACAUCAAAUUCUCCAGCAAUCUCUAUAUGACUUGUAUUGAGAUUCACUGAUAUCCUAAGCACUACUGAAGUGGGUUGGAGAGAACUGAGCUUCGCUGAGGACUGUGGGUCAGGUGCUCUGUUGAUUUGAUAGAUGAAGAAAGCAGUUCAGGGAUUCAGAACACGGUCUUUGAAAUCAGAUGACUUCAUGCUAUUGUCGCUGUGGAUUUAUGCUAAUUUAUUAACUUCUAUGACCUUCAAUUUUCUCAUUUGUAAACUGGAAUUCUAAUAGUAUUUUCCUCUUAAAGUUGCAAUAAAUUAAAUAAUGCAUGUAAAAAGCUUAGCACAGUGCCAAUACUAAGGGUUUAAUAAAUAUUUACUAUUACUAGUAUUGUUUUUUUUUUGGUCCUCCUUACAUAACUAUAAAGUUAAAUAUAAUUUGCCCUUGUCCUGAGUGGCCCAAGAUGAUCUUGGUCUAAGUUCUUAUUCCAGUUUUUCCAUUUUCUUUGUUCUGAUUUCCCUGCUCCUCACAUCAAAAAAUCAAAAUCCAUACCAUAGUUCUAACCUUGCAGGCUCUCUUCACCAUCAGGAAGAAUCUAUACUCUUUGGUUCUGGUCUGGGUUUUAAUUUCACACCUGAUCAUCCAAAUACACACAUAUGUGCCCCACAUGUAAACCAAACAUCCUAAAAUGUCGAAUAGGAGAAUCAGAGGAGAAGACCUGUGGAGGUUGGCCAAAGGGAAGCGGACGUGGAGAUCGGAAUUUGAAGUAGAGGCUAGUUGGGUUCAUUUUUGUCUGCUGCUUUUGAGGCAGGGGGUCAGGGGGUUAAAGUGCCCUAUGACCUCAGGAGAAACUCCCCAGGCCUGAGAAUGGCCUGUGAAUUACCUCUGCAUGGCUUUCUCCCUUACUGCCAUAUCUUUUCCUACCAACACCUUGUCUUCACUCUCGGUGGUUCUCACUCCCAGCCUAUCCUCUCCAUUUCAUGAGUCCAGUCCCUCCAUCAGCUCACCCAUGAAAUCAUUUAUACAAUCUCCUAGACUCUAAUCUCUCUUUUCCUCUGCAUUCUGCUGCCACAUCUGCCUGAAACACCACUUUUGUAUCAAAAUACCAGCCCGACAAGGUGGUCUAAUGAAAAGAGGACCAAACUGAUUGUCUGGAGCCCUGGGUUCUUGUCUCAACUCACAGUCUCUCUCGCUCUGUGACCUCAUGCGUAUACUUCUCCUCUCAUGACUUCAGUUUCUCUAUCUGAAACUGGGAGUGUGGAGUGGAGGUUGUUGAAUUAGCUGAUCCCUAAGCCCCUUCAGUUCUGGCAUUUCUCACUUCUGUCACUAGCUGUCAAGAACCUGUAGAAUUUUUUUCCUGUAGAAUUGUAUCUUACUCUCUCAUUCUGUCUUGUCUUGCCCCACCGCUCCUGUCUUUUGCUUCUUCCUAUGCACUCUUAUUUUUCCACUGUCCCCUUAAUAUACCCACCCGUUCUGCACACAUGUAUGUUCUUUCGCAUGAUGUUUUCUUGCUUGUAGGGCCUUCUCAACCUCCUUUCUGUAUAUCCAAAUACUGCUGAUCCUUUAGUUCCACUUCUAUGAAAAGCCUUCUUGAUUAAAUUCAACUAACAUUUGAUCUCUUGGUCUCCUGCUCCCCAAGAGAAAUAUAUUCUGUGCCAUAUUUAGCGUUACAGUUUAUUACAUUAUUCCAGGAGCAGGACCCAUCUGUUGGACGGGAAAAGCAUCCUCUUGUUGACUGACAUGGGGAGCAGGGAUCUCUGUCCCCUCUUUCCUCCCACCCCCAUCGGCAGGCUUCUUGUUCCCCAGCCGGACUUGGGAACAGCUGGUGUUCGCCCAACCCUCUGAUGUCUCCAGCUGCCCCUGCUUUUUUUUCUUUUGGUUUUCUCAGAUCCCAGCUGUGGGCCCCAGGGCAGAGCCAGUGACAAUGCAGCCAAGGGCAGCUGGAGCAAACCAAGAUACAUGGACAUGUAGCAGUUGAGAGUUAGAAGGAGGGCAGAACUGAGCACAAAUCACGCUAGUGUUGAAAACGAGGGGAAGCAGUUUGCCAGCUUAUUUUUUCCCAUCUUGCUCUCAUCUAAAAAAAGAAGCUGCUUAGAAAUACAGUCCUCCUUAGCCUGCGAAACCAGAUGGUCUCUAGAUGCCUGCCAAGUAUGCAUAUAAAAUUAUUCAUCUUCAUGGACUCACACCCAGGUCUGAAUCUAGACAUGCUUUUUUGCCAUUCGAUCUGGAGGCUGUGAACAUUUCUGAGCCUUUGUUUCUUUUUCUGUAAAGUGGGGUCACUAAUGUCUGCCUUGCCCCUUCAGUAUUGCCGGGAGAAGUUUCAACGUAAGAUAUAAGAGCACUUUGUAAUUUAUAAAGCACUGGACAAAUAUAUGUUUUUAUUAAUAGUAAAAGUGUCAUAUUUAGUUUUUGCUAUGAUGUGCUACUACUUAAUGAGCACUUAUUCUGUGCCAAAUACCGUGCUGUUUUACAUAUAUUGUAAAUACAUUUAAUCCUAAUGGCAUUUCUGUAAGAUGGUGCAUGUUAUCUCCUAUUCAACAGAUCAGAAAAGCGAGGUUCAGAAAGAUUUGCUAGCCCAGCUGCAGUCACCCAGCCUGGAAGUGCUGGAGCCAGGAUUUAACCUAAAUUGCUGGGUUCCAAAGUCAGCAUUCUUAAUGCCUGUUCAUUCUUCUCUCACACAAAAAAGAACAGUUCUUUAUUCUAUGUUAGCUAAAAUAACCCACAAUUUGAUCUCCAGUAAAUGCCCUAAGCAGUUGGGUCAUACAAAGAGGCAUUUUUGUUGAAGUCCUAAGUCCUGACAGUGUACCUUGAAUUGCUUUUCUGCCAGUAGAGAUGGGCUGGCUCUCCAUCCAUCUAUCCAUCUCUCCAUCUAUCCAUCCUUCCAUCCAUCCAUCAAUCCACCCACCCACCUCACAUAAAAUCAACAGUUCAGGGAACAAACCCAUUAGUACUGUACAAACCAUGAAGCCAAACAACUGGCAGAACUAUUAUUUUUUUAAUUUCUAACCCACAUAUUGUAGGUUAAUGAUUCUCAGCUCUAUGUGCAUCAGAAUCACUUUGGAACUAUAUGAAAGUACACAUGUCCUGGCCAUGUCUCCACAGGUCUAGAGAUGCUGAUUCAGAUGGUAUAGGGUGGGGACCAAAGAUGUGAGUGAGUGUGUGUGGGUGUGGGUGUGUGUGUGAGUGUGUGUAUGUGAGAGAGAGAGAGAGAGAAGCUCCAGGGGUAUUUCUGGUAUGCAGCCAAGUUUGAGAACCAUUGCUAUGGUCUAAAACUAUUAGUCUAUUUUCUUUUAUGAAGCAGGAGUAAUUGCUAGCUGAAAAUACAGAAUCAUUAAGUUUUAGACUUGGAAGAGUCCUUAUAUCAUUUGGUCCCUGAGGAAACCAGAGCUCAGAUAAGGUCAAUAAGUAGGUGGCAAACUUGAAUUAAAAUCUGUAUCUUCUGACUUCCAGUCUAGUGCUUUAGAUACAUCCACGGGUACCAGGGUUUUACCGGAUUAUUGAGACAAUCUUCAGGACCCACUCAUCAUGGCACUCAUGAUUUCCAGCAACCACACCUUGGAGUUUUUGUGGAGGGAAGAAGCCUGGCUAGAAGGCCUGUGAGAAUCUACUGGGAUGGCAGUUCUCAUAUGUGUUCAUUCAUUUCACAGCACUCAUUGAAGUCUAUACUGUGGCUGGCCCCAUCCUUAAGGAACUGAAUCUGGAGAGCAAGAAAGGCCCCGUCAACAGGUCCCACGUGUUAGCUCCUGUGCACUCGUGAUAAGAAAUCCUUACCACCUACUGUUGCAGACCUCACACACAAAGAAAGGCACUAGUAAAAAGAAUAAGCACCCCAUUCUGCUGUUGGAGAAACUGAGGGUAACUGGAAAACCUGAAGGUAAGGGCCCCAGAGAGAGUUAGGAAUACAGGAGAGAGAACGAGAGCUGGCCUCUGCCUCUCAGCCAAAGCCAUUCAGAGAUGGCACUAAGCAAAGGCUUUUCCAGCAGUGGAGGUAGACAGCAGCAAGCCAACUACAAGACUGGCAAGAAAAUAAGCUCUGAAGCUAGUGUGCCUCUAGCCAAACCUGAUUCUGCUAUUUACUAACUGUGUUACCCUGGACAAGUUAUUUUGCCUUUCUGAGCCUCAGUUUCCUCAUCUGUAAAAUGGGAAUACUAGUAUUUCUACUUUAUAGGGUUAUAUGGAUUAUAUGAGAUGAUACAGUAAAAAGCGACAAUGUGCAAUAAAGAGUAACUAUCAAUGUAACAUGUCUACAGCGUGCUAAGCACACUUAUACGAAUAAUGCAGAUUCCUCACCUUUGAGUUUACUGUCCCGUGGCCAGUAUAGGCAAGUAGACAUUUACCACAGAGUGUGCUGAGAGUGGUGCUGUCUAUAGCCUUGGAAUAGAUCUUCCUGUCUCUCCGUGAAGUUAAUUGUGUGAGAACAGAGAGACUGAACCCAUGACCUUAGUAAUGGGAACGUUAAAAAAAUAAUAGUAGAUAGCAGUUGGCCAUUAUCAGAGAGAGGGUGUAAAAUGUCAUAGAAGUUAGUUAUUUCAUUUUAUCCUCUGCAAGGCCUUAUAAGAUUUGCUGAUGAGUAACUGAAGAGGUGAGUGUGGCUUUUCUGUGGCCACAAUAAAAGUAAUUGUCCCUAAGGCCCUGCACAUACCAACCUUUACCCCGAUAAAGGCCAGCAGGGUUGGUACUGGUAUGUCAUGUGCCCCCCUACCCACCUUGCGGCGGGGAAAAUAAGUAGCAUAAUGGCCAAAGGGUAAUUUGGGAAGAGACUGCUGGCCAGAACCUGGUGAAUCUAUCACCUACCAGUAAGCAGAUCAUUUUUAUGAGGCCAAGGAAUUUAGGAAAAUGCCUUUCUGCAGGUUUAGGUUGAAGUGAAACCCUCUAGCGUACCCUCCCCUCAGUUGGAUAUAGCACAGUGGCAGAGGACGGGGGAAUACGACAGAGGGCAGUUUGCCCUGUCGCUUUGUGCCAGUGACCUCUGCCCAUACCCAGAGCUCCAUUUAAGGGCAUGUCCUGACACAGGUUGGACUUGAGGCCUUGUCUACCCUGCUUUGUGUCUGCCAUGUCGUUUUUGUCUGUCCCUUCGCAUGCAUAUGAUACUGAUAGAGUAUAAAUUCUUCUCGGCCCUGGAUGCCCACAGAUUCUAUAAGAGCCCUGUCACUUCUUAGGAGACUGAGGCUCAGAGAAAGCACAUGACACAUCCAAGAUGAAAGCUAGAAAGUGGAAAUCCAAAGACCGGACCCUGGCUCUGGGGCUCUGAGUCCAGGGUGUCCCUCCCUGGGACCAUAGAUUUGGCUUUCCUAAGAGGGAGAGGUUCAUCCCAAAUGAGCAAAGGGUCCUUGGCCACAAAGGUCACUUCCUUUUCCUGAUACCACUUUUCAUGUGGGAGGUCACAGGGACAUUAGGAAGCCAGUGGUGGAGGUGGAAUGAGCCCCACUUGAGAGACAGGAGGCUAGAGCUCUCCUCUGACUCUGUGCCCUCUCUCCUGUGGUCUUGAGUGGGUCACUGUACCUCUCAGUGUCUUGGGGUCCUUGUCUACGAUCAGGAAUACCACAUAUUCCUUUCCCUGCUUAUCUCUUGGGUAUGAUGAGAAGCAAAGUAACAAGUGAUGUCAGACAUGCUUUUGAGGAUGUUAGAAGCAUGAUUCUGAAUAUCUUCAAACAAAAAUGAGGGCUGGCCGGUGGCCCUCAGAUGUUUUUUUCUUUUAUUUCAUUCAUUCAUUCACUCAAUGCUGGAAAAUGUUUGUUGAAUACUUUCCUAAUGUCAGAUACUGUGUUAAAUAAUGGGGACCCAAGGAAAUCCCCAGGCUUUGAAGAAUUCAAAGGAAAGAGAGACAGAUCUUAACAAAUAAUUAUGGUAUCUAGUAAAUGUGAGGCCUUUUCAAGAGAUGCCCACAAUCAGGGAGACCUUUCAUUGAGGUGUCCCGAGGUGCUGUGGAAUGUAGAAAGGAGUGCAGUGAGGAACAGUUGGAGCCAGAGAAGGCCCACAAAAGGAGGGUGAGUAGGAGGGUGAUGAGGAUGUGGGGGAGUGGGAGGGACAGAGGAAACACCUUGUACAAGGCUCUAGAGAAUAUGUGAGUAGCUUAGCAUAGCUGGAGCACUCACUGGUUGUGUGAGGGAAGUGUGGUGGCUGUUUCUUAUUGUCAGAAUGGAGCCUAGAGGUCACCCCAAUGGUCAUCUAGUGGUUCUCUCUGAGGCAUGUUUACCUGUGUGAAUCUGUGUACAUUGGUUCGCCUCUCUGGGUUACAGUGAGAGGCCUAUGUAAAUGAAAUUCAGGGAUGGAGCUCCGUUUGAUGUUCCACGGGAGGAGGGAUUUUUAGGAAACUAUCUCAAGUGCUAACUGGACAUGCUCUGGGUUCCUAAGCUUCCAAGUUAUACAGUGCUGUUCGGGUUACAAUCUGAGCUCCAGGGUCCCACCCACUCCAUGAGCACCUAGUGUUGGUUGGUGGUAGUUCCUGAGAGAAAGAGGGUUUAGUUGUGUUGGUUUGCUGCUGACUGGCAUAACUUGCCUCAUCAGGCAGGAUUUUCAGCCAGCUCCUAUGGUAGAAGUCUGUUUCCAUUGGGCCCAGCAUAUACUGGGCCAUCUCAUCCCAAGUCCAAGCAGGAUCAGUUUUAAUCACAGCCCACUACAAACUUAUGCAGAGAGAACUCCUUAGGACAUCUUCUUCAGAAGGCGCUGUGAGUGGAGAAGGUACCUAGCUUUCCAGAACUCACCUCUUGGAUGGCAUUUCAUUGGCAUAGGCUGCGUUAUCUAUUCUCUGAGCCCUUUUCAAUUAGGACAUUAGAGUAUAAAGUUGCCAUUUCAUGAUUUCUUUUUCUUCUUUAAUUUAUCCUGAUCUUAAUGCAGAGCACAAAUUGAGAAAGAUAGCUAUCUGAUUUAAAAUGGCCCCGGCAGCGGGGAGGGGCGGGGACCAAUACAGUUAGAUAAACUUUACUAUAUCCAAGGGAAAGAUCUGUAAAGCUCUGAGUGCCUGCCUGACCUUCUAUGAAAGGUGAUCAUCAAGUUUUUGCUUUAGUCUUUUUAGAACCAGAUAGGCCACAGCAGGACUUCUGGGCCCAGCCACAGGCCAGCAAAUAGCAGUGAGGAGCCGAGGGAAUGGAAAGGGGUAAGAUUGGGGACCUCAUUGCAUGUGACCUGUUCUCUAAGCCAUCUGUUCUUAUAAAUCCCUCCUAGCAGCCCAGAGCAACUAGUGAGCAGGACAGGGGUCUUUGAAACACAAAUUGCCAGUGAUUACAAGGCCUUUGGGUGUGAGACUGUCUUUCCUCUCUCCAAGUGGCUAUGGUUUAUAAAGGAUAAGCGAUGUGUUUUUCUCUGUCUGGUCCAGUGUCCCUCCCAUGCAGUGGCUAGGGGAUGCUGUCAGAAGCUCCUGAGAGUGGCGGUGGAUCGACUUCCAGAAAGACAAGUUAAAACCCAGCUCCAAGGUAAGCUCCAGAGCCUGGACCCUGGCAAAUUAGUCUUUUGGCCUGGUUGCCAUGGAGACAGACAGGCAGCAGCUGCGAGGGAAGAGGGAACAGCAGCUUCACCGACAUCUAGGAUUCUGAGACAGCCAUGGUGGGGGAGGGGCCUUGACAUCGCCCUUUCUCUCCCAGAUACAGAGGCUCCUGUGUGCACCCCCCAGCUCCCAGACUCACAGGACCUGGUGAGUUGCCAGGGGCAAAAGGAGACAUGACAGCGCUGGCUCCUGAACCUGAUUUCCCGCUUCUAGGCCAGUUCCCUGCCAUCAGACCACAGUUGCCUCCUGCUGGCUUUUGGAGCAAACAGAUUUUCUAGCACUGAGCUCCUGGGCCCUGGGGAGGCGGGGUUCCCAAGUGCCCUCCUUGGAGGGGAUACAUCGUUAGAGGUGAAUCCCAAAGUAGUGGCCACCAGAGGCCAAUUUGGACGGGAGCUGUGUCCCUGUCUCUCUGGAAAGCCUGGCAGCGGCUGUGUGGGGGUGUGACCAGCCAUUGUCUGGGAAAGGAACUUGAAGCUAAGCCCAGGGGCAUCUGGGCAAAUAGUGGGGUUUAUUGUUUCCUCAUUUGAUGCUACAUUGAUAUCAUUAAUUUGUGACUUCAAGCCCUGUCCUCCCUAGCCCAGAGGAGACAGUUCUCUCCUCCUUCGGGUUAUCUCUGGGAAUUAAAGGUGGGAGAGAGGGGGCCUGGGAUCCAGGUCGCCUGAGUCCACUUUCACUGCAGAGCUGCCAGGAGGUUGUGUCUCAGGGUCAGUCUCCUCCCUUGGUAAGAGGAGAAAUGAGGCUGGUGUUGUCCACGGCUUUGCAGGUGAGCAGGGUCGUUACCUAAGACAACAGAGCCCUAGUGUGGAGGGACAGCAGAACUGGAAAAAAGCAGCAGCUACUACCCACCAGGCAGGGCUUUUGGUGGUCAUGUUGUUUUUAUUAUGAUUUAAUAUAAAGUAAAUGGAGAAAAUGACCCAUCACCUCAUGCCCAAAUCCUUCUUCCUGCUGGAAACUAUUGAUAAUUUUGUUGUGUAUCUUUUCAGCUCUUUCUCUAGGCUUAUACUUUCCUCCCUUUAUUAUUAUUUUUUAAUUGCACAAAUGAUGUGAGAACACAUUUUUAUAAAAGAUGCAAACACCACAUAUAAAAUAGAAGUCAUAGCAAGUCUUCUUUUAGUCUAUUCUCUUCACCAAAAACAGCUAUUGUUAACAGUUUACCGUCCUCAGUACAUUUAUGCACAAACACAAAUACAGCAUUUUAGCCUUUCUUUCUUUAGCAUAAAUGCAAUCAUAAUAUACAUAUCGUUCGGCAGAUUGCUCUUCCAGACACAAUAAUAUGUUACCCUGUAGAUUUUUCCGUGUCGACAUACCCACCCCAUUCCCCAUAACUGCUGCCUAAUAUUUUACAUUAUGGAUGUUCUGUACUUAUUUAAGUAGUCUCCUCUCAUAGACACUUGCAUUAUUUAUAAUUUUUUGUUAUUAAUAAUGCUUUGAACACUUGUGCAUCUAUUUAUGCAGGGUUUAUUUCUAGAAGUAGAAUUGCUGGGUUAACAUGUCAGUAUAUCUUUAAUUUUUCUAAAUAUCAUGGGGAUUUAUUUUUAAAUUUUACCUUUUAGAAAUGAUCCAAGACAUGGAUACCCAUCGAAAAAAAAAAAAAAGUGGAAAGUAUAGAAAA